Molecule: ribosomal RNA, 444 nt
Filed under: uncultured prokaryote
Description: bacterial SSU rRNA
Rfam family: Bacterial small subunit ribosomal RNA
Source: RNAcentral
UAGGGAAUAUUGGGCAAUGGGUGAGAGCCUGACCCAGCCAUGCCGCGUGUAGGAAGACGGCCCUACGGGUUGUAAACUACUUUUAUAUAGGAACAAAAAGGGGGAUGCGUCCCCUGUUGAGGGUACUAUAUGAAUAAGCACCGGCUAACUCCGUGCCAGCAGCCGCGGUAAUACGGAGGGUGCCAGCGUUGUCCGGAUAUAUUGGGUUUAAAGGGUACGUAGGCGGGCUAUUAUGUCUGAGGUGAAAGCUUUCGGCUCAACCGGAAAAUUGCCUUAGAUACUGGUAGUCUUGAGUACAGGAGAGGUGGGCGGAAUUCAUGGUGUAGCGGUGAAAUGCAUAGAUACCAUGAGGAACACCGAUAGGGAAGCCAGCUCACUGGACUGUCACUGACGCUGAGGUACGAAAGCGUGGGGAGCGAACAGGAUUAGAUACCCCCGUAGUCC